RNAcentral lists this ribosomal RNA (735 nucleotides) under uncultured Fusobacterium sp. RNAcentral's name for it is "bacterial SSU rRNA". It matches the Rfam family "Bacterial small subunit ribosomal RNA", at positions 28 to 776 of the family's 1533-position model. Lineage: Bacteria; Fusobacteriati; Fusobacteriota; Fusobacteriia; Fusobacteriales; Fusobacteriaceae. The record is from RNAcentral.
GAUGAACGCUGACAGAAUGCUUAACACAUGCAAGUCAACUUGAAUUUGGGUUUUUAACUUAGAUUUGGGUGGCGGACGGGUGAGUAACGCGUAAAGAACUUGCCUCACAGCUAGGGACAACAUUUAGAAAUGAAUGCUAAUACCUGAUAUUAUGAUUUUAAGGCAUCUUAGAAUUAUGGAAGCUAUAAGCACUGUGAGAGAGCUUUGCGUCCCAUUAGCUAGUUGGAGAGGUAACAGCUCACCAAGGCGAUGAUGGGUAGCCGGCCUGAGAGGGUGAACGGCCACAAGGGGACUGAGACACGGCCCUUACUCCUACGGGAGGCAGCAGUGGGGAAUAUUGGACAAUGGACCGAAAGUCUGAUCCAGCAAUUCUGUGUGCACGAUGAAGUUUUUCGGAAUGUAAAGUGCUUUCAGUUGGGAAGAAAGAAAUGACGGUACCAACAGAAGAAGUGACGGCUAAAUACGUGCCAGCAGCCGCGGUAAUACGUAUGUCACGAGCGUUAUCCGGAUUUAUUGGGCGUAAAGCGCGUCUAGGUGGUUAUGUAAGUCUGAUGUGAAAAUGCAGGGCUCAACUCUGUAUUGCGUUGGAAACUGUAUAACUAGAGUACUGGAGAGGUAAGCGGAACUACAAGUGUAGAGGUGAAAUUCGUAGAUAUUUGUAGGAAUGCCGAUGGGGAAGCCAGCUUACUGGACAGAUACUGACGCUAAAGCGCGAAAGCGUGGGUAGCAAACAGG